Molecule: ribosomal RNA, 400 nt
Filed under: uncultured bacterium
Lineage: Bacteria
Description: bacterial SSU rRNA
Rfam family: Bacterial small subunit ribosomal RNA
Source: RNAcentral
UGGGGAAUAUUGGGCAAUGGGCGAAAGCCUGACCCAGCAACGCCGCGUGAACGAAGAAGGUCUUCGGAUUGUAAAGUUCUGUCCUAUGGGACGAAGAAAGUGACGGUACCAUAGGAGGAAGCCCCGGCUAACUACGUGCCAGCAGCCGCGGUAAUACGUAGGGGGCAAGCGUUGUCCGGAAUUACUGGGCGUAAAGGGUGCGUAGGCGGCGCCUUAAGUCAGAUGUGAAAUAUCCAUGCUUAACGUGGAGGGUGCAUCUGAUACUGGGGCACUUGAGUGCAGGAGAGGAAAGUGGAAUUCCUAGUGUAGCGGUGAAAUGCGUAGAUAUUAGGAGGAACACCAGUGGCGAAGGCGACUUUCUGGACUGUAACUGACGCUGAGGCACGAAAGCGUGGGGAGC